AUCGGUUAUGGUGAUAUGACACCGCACACUUACCUUGGUCGUAUCAUUGGCUCUGUAUGUGCGUUAGCUGGUGUAUUAACUAUUGCUUUGCCUGUUCCUGUAAGUUUUGAAC
Molecule: non-coding RNA, 112 nt
Organism: Dracunculus medinensis (Guinea worm)
Lineage: Eukaryota; Metazoa; Nematoda; Chromadorea; Rhabditida; Dracunculidae
Source: Rfam